RNAcentral lists this ribosomal RNA (446 nucleotides) under uncultured bacterium. RNAcentral describes it as "partial 16S ribosomal RNA". It matches the Rfam family "Bacterial small subunit ribosomal RNA", at positions 338 to 795 of the family's 1533-position model. The record is from RNAcentral.
CCUACGGGGAGCAGCAGUCGAGAAUUAUUCACAAUGGGGGAAACCCUGAUGGUGCGACGCCGCGUGGGGGAAUGAAGGUCUUCGGAUUGUAAACCCCUGUCAUGUGGGAGCAAAUUAAAAAGAUAGUACCACAAGAGGAAGAGACGGCUAACUCUGUGCCAGCAGCCGCGGUAAUACAGAGGUCUCAAGCGUUGUUCGGAAUCACUGGGCGUAAGGCGUGCGUAGGCUGUUUCGUAAGUCGUGUGUGAAAGGCGCGGGCUCAACCCGCGGACGGCACAUGAUACUGCGAGACUAGAGUAAUGGAGGGGGAACCGGAAUUCUCGGUGUAGCAGUGAAAUGCGUAGAUAUCGAGAGGAACACUCGUGGCGAAGGCGGGUUCCUGGACAUUAACUGACGCUGAGGCACGAAGGCCAGGGGAGCGAAAGGGAUUAGAUACCCUAGUAGUC